UACGGAGGGUGCGAGCGUUAAUCGGAAUUACUGGGCGUAAAGCGCACGCAGGCGGUUUGUUAAGCAAGAUGUGAAAGCCCCGGGCUCAACCUGGGAACUGCAUUUUGAACUGGCAGACUAGAGUCUUGGAGAGGGGGGUGGAAUUCCAGGUGUAGCGGUGAAAUGCGUAGAGAUCUGGAGGAACAUCAGUGGCGAAGGCGGCCCCUGGCCAAAGCACUGACGCUCAUGUGCGAAAGUGUGGGUAGCGAACAGGAUUAGACUACCCCGUAGUCC
This 273-nucleotide ribosomal RNA is filed under the name uncultured bacterium. RNAcentral describes it as "partial 16S ribosomal RNA". It matches the Rfam family "Bacterial small subunit ribosomal RNA", at positions 524 to 796 of the family's 1533-position model. The record is from RNAcentral.